GAUGAACGCUGGCGGCAUGCCUAAGACAUGCAAGUCGAACGAGAUGGCCCAGUGAAGGUUGAGUGCUUGCACGAGACUGAAUCUGGAUUCCCAUCUAGUGGCAGACGGGUGAGUAACACGUGGGUGACCUACCUUUUCGUUGGGGAUAACAGUUGGAAACGAUUGCUAAUACCGAAUAAAAUGUAAGAGUCAAUUUUACAUUGAAAGGAGCCUUUAAAGCUUCGCGAUUAGAUGGGCCUGCGGCGUAUUAACUAGUUGGUGAGGUAAUGGCUUACCAAGGUGACGAUGCGUAGCCGAACUGAGAGGUUGAUCGGCCACAUUGGGACUGAGACACGGCCCAAAACUCCUAACGGGGAGACAGCAGUUAGGAAUAUUCGUCAAUGGGCGAGAGCCUGAACCAGCCAAGUAGCGUGAAGGAUGAAGGUCCUACGGAUUGUAAACUUCUUUUAUACGGGAAUAAGUUCCUACGUGUAGGAUUUGUAUGUACCGUAUGAAUAAGCAUCGG
Molecule: ribosomal RNA, 505 nt
Filed under: uncultured bacterium
Lineage: Bacteria
Description: bacterial SSU rRNA
Rfam family: Bacterial small subunit ribosomal RNA
Source: RNAcentral